This 313-nucleotide unclassified non-coding RNA is filed under the name Hevea brasiliensis (rubber tree). The record is from RNAcentral. Lineage: Eukaryota; Viridiplantae; Streptophyta; Magnoliopsida; Malpighiales; Euphorbiaceae.
GAGAAGUACUUUUCUGGUCAUCAAUGUAAGCAGCAGAAAUCUGAGAUGGCUAUUCCAUCUUGUGAAAAUGAUAAGUCUGCAUUCCAAAUGCAAGGGCAGGAAGUGGAAGAUGGAGAAGAAGUGUGGCAUGAUGUUAUGGAAGGGGAUGGAAGCGGAAUUGGAGAUGAAAUAACCCUUUCUGUACAUGCUAUUGAGGGCAGAGAAACAGGGAAUUACUGAUUUUAAUCGACUCUGGCAGCACUCAUAGUUUCUUAGAUGUUAAAGUAGCAAGGGAAUUGAAGGUAACUGCAGUAGAUGUGACUGUUUUAGCAGU